AAUGGGGAAACCCAGUGUGUUUCGACACACUAUCAUUAACUGAAUCCAUAGGUUAAUGAGGCGAACCGGGGGAACUGAAACAUCUAAGUACCCCGAGGAAAAGAAAUCAACCGAGAUUCCCCCAGUAGCGGCGAGCGAACGGGGAGCAGCCCAGAGCCUGAAUCAGUGUGUGUGUUAGUGGAAGCGUCUGGAAAGGCGCGCGAUACAGGGUGACAGCCCCGUACACAAAAAUGCACAUGCUGUGAGCUCGAUGAGUAGGGCGGGACACGUGGUAUCCUGUCUGAAUAUGGGGGGACCAUCCUCCAAGGCUAAAUACUCCUGACUGACCGAUAGUGAACCAGUACCGUGAGGGAAAGGCGAAAAGAACCCCGGCGAGGGGAGUGAAAAAGAACCUGAAACCGUGUACGUACAAGCAGUGGGAGCCUCUUUUAUGGGGUGACUGCGUACCUUUUGUAUAAUGGGUCAGCGACUUAUAUUCUGUAGCAAGGUUAACCGAAUAGGGGAGCCGAAGGGAAACCGAGUCUUAACUGGGCGUUAAGUUGCAGGGUAUAGACCCGAAACCCGGUGAUCUAGCCAUGGGCAGGUUGAAGGUUGGGUAACACUAACUGGAGGACCGAACCGACUAAUGUUGAAAAAUUAGCGGAUGACUUGUGGCUGGGGGUGAAAGGCCAAUCAAACCGGGAGAUAGCUGGUUCUCCCCGAAAGCUAUUUAGGUAGCGCCUCGUGAAUUCAUCUCCGGGGGUAGAGCACUGUUUCGGCAAGGGGGUCAUCCCGACUUACCAACCCGAUGCAAACUGCGAAUACCGGAGAAUGUUAUCACGGGAGACACACGGCGGGUGCUAACGUCCGUCGUGAAGAGGGAAACAACCCAGACCGCCAGCUAAGGUCCCAAAGUCAUGGUUAAGUGGGAAACGAUGUGGGAAGGCCCAGACAGCCAGGAUGUUGGCUUAGAAGCAGCCAUCAUUUAAAGAAAGCGUAAUAGCUCACUGGUCGAGUCGGCCUGCGCGGAAGAUGUAACGGGGCUAAACCAUGCACCGAAGCUGCGGCAGCGACGCUUAUGCGUUGUUGGGUAGGGGAGCGUUCUGUAAGCCUGUGAAGGUGUGCUGUGAGGCAUGCUGGAGGUAUCAGAAGUGCGAAUGCUGACAUAAGUAACGAUAAAGCGGGUGAAAAGCCCGCUCGCCGGAAGACCAAGGGUUCCUGUCCAACGUUAAUCGGGGCAGGGUGAGUCGACCCCUAAGGCGAGGCCGAAAGGCGUAGUCGAUGGGAAACAGGUUAAUAUUCCUGUACUUGGUGUUACUGCGAAGGGGGGACGGAGAAGGCUAUGUUGGCCGGGCGACGGUUGUCCCGGUUUAAGCGUGUAGGCUGGUUUUCCAGGCAAAUCCGGAAAAUCAAGGCUGAGGCGUGAUGACGAGGCACUACGGUGCUGAAGCAACAAAUGCCCUGCUUCCAGGAAAAGCCUCUAAGCAUCAGGUAACAUCAAAUCGUACCCCAAACCGACACAGGUGGUCAGGUAGAGAAUACCAAGGCGCUUGAGAGAACUCGGGUGAAGGAACUAGGCAAAAUGGUGCCGUAACUUCGGGAGAAGGCACGCUGAUAUGUAGGUGAAGCGACUUGCUCGUGGAGCUGAAAUCAGUCGAAGAUACCAGCUGGCUGCAACUGUUUAUUAAAAACACAGCACUGUGCAAACACGAAAGUGGACGUAUACGGUGUGACGCCUGCCCGGUGCCGGAAGGUUAAUUGAUGGGGUCAGCGCAAGCGAAGCUCUUGAUCGAAGCCCCGGUAAACGGCGGCCGUAACUAUAACGGUCCUAAGGUAGCGAAAUUCCUUGUCGGGUAAGUUCCGACCUGCACGAAUGGCGUAAUGAUGGCCAGGCUGUCUCCACCCGAGACUCAGUGAAAUUGAACUCGCUGUGAAGAUGCAGUGUACCCGCGGCAAGACGGAAAGACCCCGUGAACCUUUACUAUAGCUUGACACUGAACAUUGAGCCUUGAUGUGUAGGAUAGGUGGGAGGCUUUGAAGUGUGGACGCCAGUCUGCAUGGAGCCGACCUUGAAAUACCACCCUUUAAUGUUUGAUGUUCUAACGUUGACCCGUAAUCCGGGUUGCGGACAGUGUCUGGUGGGUAGUUUGACUGGGGCGGUCUCCUCCUAAAGAGUAACGGAGGAGCACGAAGGUUGGCUAAUCCUGGUCGGACAUCAGGAGGUUAGUGCAAUGGCAUAAGCCAGCUUGACUGCGAGCGUGACGGCGCGAGCAGGUGCGAAAGCAGGUCAUAGUGAUCCGGUGGUUCUGAAUGGAAGGGCCAUCGCUCAACGGAUAAAAGGUACUCCGGGGAUAACAGGCUGAUACCGCCCAAGAGUUCAUAUCGACGGCGGUGUUUGGCACCUCGAUGUCGGCUCAUCACAUCCUGGGGCUGAAGUAGGUCCCAAGGGUAUGGCUGUUCGCCAUUUAAAGUGGUACGCGAGCUGGGUUUAGAACGUCGUGAGACAGUUCGGUCCCUAUCUGCCGUGGGCGCUGGAGAACUGAGGGGGGCUGCUCCUAGUACGAGAGGACCGGAGUGGACGCAUCACUGGUGUUCGGGUUGUCAUGCCAAUGGCACUGCCCGGUAGCUAAAUGCGGAAGAGAUAAGUGCUGAAAGCAUCUAAGCACGAAACUUGCC
This 2655-nucleotide ribosomal RNA is filed under the name Escherichia coli. RNAcentral's name for it is "partial 23S ribosomal RNA". It matches the Rfam family "Bacterial large subunit ribosomal RNA". The record is from RNAcentral. Lineage: Bacteria; Pseudomonadati; Pseudomonadota; Gammaproteobacteria; Enterobacterales; Enterobacteriaceae.